This 681-nucleotide ribosomal RNA is filed under the name uncultured nitrite-oxidizing bacterium. RNAcentral describes it as "bacterial SSU rRNA". It matches the Rfam family "Bacterial small subunit ribosomal RNA", at positions 21 to 696 of the family's 1533-position model. The record is from RNAcentral.
GGCUCAUGACGAACGCUGGCGGCGCGCCUAAUACAUGCAAGUCGAGCGAGAAGGUGUAGCAAUACACUUGUAAAGCGGCGAACGGGUGAGGAAUACAUGGGUAAUCUACCAUCGAGUGGGGAAUAACCAGCCGAAAGGUUGGCUAAUACCGCGUACGCUUCCCGGACUGCGGUUCGGGAAGGAAAGCGAUACCGUGGGUAUCGCGCUCUUGGAUGGGCUCAUGCCCUAUCAGCUUGUUGGUGAGGUAACGGCUCACCAAGGCAUCGACGAGUAGCUGAUCUGAGAGGAUGAUCAGCCACACUGGCACUGCGACACGGGCCAGACUCCUACGGGAGGCAGCAGUAAGGAAUAUUGCGCAAUGGGCGAAAGCCUGACGCAGCGACGCCGCGUGGGGGAUGAAGGUCUUCGGAUUGUAAACCCCUUUCGGGAGGGAAGAUGGGAUGGGUAACCAUUCGGACGGUACCUCCAGAAGCAGUCACGGCUAACUUCGUGCCAGCAGCCGCGGUAAUACGAAGGUGGCAAGCGUUAUUCGGAUUUACUGGGCGUACAGGGAGCGUAGGCGGUUUGGUAAGCCCUCUGUGAAAUCUCCAGGCUUAACCUGGAAAAGUCGGAGGGGACUGCUGGGCUAGAGGACGGGAGAGGAGCGCGGAAUUCCCGGUGUAGCGGUGAAAUGCGUAGAGA